UUCUUUCUUUCUUGAUUUUCUCAUGCUUUUCAUAGACGAGAGAAUGAUUUAGAUGUUUGUUUUAAUCAUUAACACCAAACCCUACACAUACGGAUCUAAUUUGGUUUUUUUCUUUUACAAAUUGAGCGUCUUAAUUAAGCUCUGAUUCUGAUCAUUUCUGUUACUUCGAAUUACUGGUUUUGAAUCCGGGAAAGCAACAUAAUUUUUCCUCUUUUCUGUUCGAAUUCAGAGAUCUGAUUUUCGUUCUGGAGCUCUGUUUUGUAGGCGAACGGUUAUUUUCAGUUGCAACUCUUGUUUGUGUUGUUUUGACAAAUAUUUUGGUUCCUAAACAAAGAUAUUGACCAUUAUUUCAUCGGAUUCAGAUCAGUGAACGUUCGGGAUGUAACGAAAAGCUUUUAGUUUCUAUUGAAUUCAAGUGUUUUUUUUUUAACAAAAAAAGAUUUACUUUCAUUUUGAAUAAAAUUGCAUUCAUUCUCUCUGAAUAGGUUUGGUUCUGUAAUAUUGGACCGAGUCUUUUUGGGGGACUUCGGAGCUCAGAUUGUAGAUAAACAUUGUCCUUUUGGGCGUUGAAUUUGUUUCUUAUUGACGAAGGAACCACAAAGCGUGGGAUCGAAUUAGGGGUUUUGUGAAUUUGCCAGCUUUGGCUGAAGUCAGACGAGACAUGUUGGAGGGACGGUGCCUGGUCUCAAGGGCGUUUUCGAGCACAGGAGACAAGUGGUCUUACAUGCCUUACCGGCUCGAUAUCCCCAACGGGAAGCGCCGGUUGGAAAUCGACGGUGCGGACGAACGCGAAUGUAGACAGAGGAGGUUGUGUAAUACAUUGGAGUGCCGCGAGAGGAGAGCCGGAACGGCUCGACCUUCGCGAGAGGAAGAGGAAGAGGAGGCCCAAAACCCAGAGCAAGAGGAAGACAAAGACCCAGAGCAUGAGCAAUCUGAUGAGCGUGGUGGUGGAGGAGAAGGGGAUUCGUCGGGUUCGGAUUCGGAUUCGGAUUCGGAGUCUGAUUCGACUACGGAUUCCCUUAUCAAUCCUAUCGGCAGAGACAACUCCAUCAGCUGCCUCAUGCGCUGCUCCAGGUCCGAUUACGGUGCGAUUGCCUCGUUGAACCGGAGCUUCUGUUCCUUGAUUCGGACCGGCGAGCUGUACCAGCUGCGGCGGAAGAACGGUAUGAUCGAGCACUGGAUUUACUUCUCGUGCCACCUCUUGGAAUGGGAGGCGUUCGAUCCGAUUUGUCAACGGUGGAUGCAUUUGCCGAGAAUGACUUCAAACGAGUGCUUCAUGUGUUCGGAUAAGGAGUCCUUGGCCGUGGGCACUGAGCUUCUUGUCUUUGGUAAAGAGGUGACCUCCCAUGUCAUCUACAGAUAUAGUCUUCUGACGAACUCGUGGUCCUCCGGGAUGAGAAUGAACGCCCCCAGAUGCUUGUUUGGGUCUGCCAGCCUUGGGGAGAUUGCGAUUCUAGCAGGUGGGUGUGACUCACAGGGGGAGAUCUUGAGCUCCGCAGAGCUGUAUAAUUCGGAGACUCAAACUUGGGAGACACUCCCGAGCAUGACUAAGCCAAGGAAGAUGUGCUCGGGGGUGUUCAUGGACGGAAAGUUUUACGUGAUUGGUGGAAUCGGAGGGCCCGAAUCGAAGGUUCUUGCGUGCGGAGAGGAGUACAAUUUGGAGACCAAGACUUGGACAGAAAUUCCUAACAUGUCUCCUGGACGGAGUGGUGCGGCCAGGGAGAAUGAGAUGCCUGCCACUGCCGAGGCUCCGCCUCUGGUUGCAGUGGUGGGUAAUGAAUUGUAUGCGGCGGAUUAUGCGGACAUGGUGGUGAGGAAGUAUGACAAGGAAAGGCGAGAGUGGCUUACUGUGGGGGGAUUGCCUGAACGGGCGGUCUCGAUGAAUGGUUGGGGUCUAGCAUUUAGAGCCUGUGGAGAUAGGCUCAUAGUGAUUGGUGGACCUAGGGCUUUGGGUGAAGGUUUUAUUGAGCUCAACUCAUGGGUUCCAAGUGAAGGCCCUCCGCAGUGGAACUUGCUUGCGAGAAAGCAAUCGGGUAACUUUGUCUAUAACUGUGCUGUGAUGGGUUGCUGAAGCGAUGGGGAUUUUUUGCGGGUGCCAUGUUUACUGUGAUGGUGCUUUUGCUCACAAUGAUAUAUGUACAAGAUUGGUUUGUCCUUCGACACAGGAGUCCUGCUAAUUGGUGGUUUGGAUUAGGCAAUCUGUGGCCCUUGUUCAAAUAAUUCCUGGCUAGAAGUGUUAUUGUAGAAGGGGGCUAUUCUCUAGUGGCAUUUCCUGAUCAGUGAGAAGUUGGGUUGUUGAGUAAGGCCGGCUGCCGCCGUUUAGUUAUAUGAAAUUUUUGUUUUCAGGUGGCAAAGUUUGACCCUUAAGUUUCCUCUUUUGUGUCCUUUUAACUGGUCGAUCAAACACCACUGUGCAUUGAAUUGCCCUGCUUAGGUUCUGCUUAUUGGUCAAGAGGGUCUCAGUGGCUGUGGGCCACCAAGCAUGCUUAGGCAGUUUUUGCUUGAUCAUAUAAUGUGAUCCAGUAUCUAUACUUGUCUUUUUAUUGCUGCUUCUUGGUUCGCUAGUGUAGGGUGGUGGGCAGUAAAGUAGCUCACUUUGUUGCUUCACCUUCAGAUUGCCCUGCAUUUUACUACUUUUAG
This is an RNA transcript of Corylus avellana, 2640 nucleotides long. It is a transcript of the gene named F-box/kelch-repeat protein At1g26930, with no coding region annotated. Lineage: Eukaryota; Viridiplantae; Streptophyta; Magnoliopsida; Fagales; Betulaceae. The record is from RefSeq and is a predicted model, not a curated record.